GACGAACCGUGCGAACGUUGUUCGGAAUCACUGGGCAUAAAGAGCACGUAGGCUGCGCGCUAAGUCAGGUGUGAAAUCCCCCGGCUCAACCGGGGAACUGCACCUGAUACUGGCGUGCUCGAGGACGGUAGGGGUGAGUGGAACUCCAGGUGGAGCGGUGAAAUGCGUAGAUAUCUGGAGGAACACCGGUGGCGAAAGCGGCUCACUGGACCGUCUCUGACGCUGAGGUGCGAAAGCUAGGGUAGCAAACGGG
Molecule: ribosomal RNA, 253 nt
Filed under: uncultured bacterium
Lineage: Bacteria
Description: partial 16S ribosomal RNA
Rfam family: Bacterial small subunit ribosomal RNA
Source: RNAcentral